GAUGCAAGACUCUCCAGCAAUCUUCCUCGGAUUGAUCUCUCAGUUUCGACCCUGCCUGUCCCCGACCUUCCUUCCUCGUUUCUGCCCUUGGAACUACCUCAGCCUUCUGUCCCUGACCAAGAGACUUGCCUGCUCCUCGUCUGUUUCCAGCCUGUUCCUCCACACAGCGGCUCUGCGCCACCUCGCCACCUUAGAAGCUGCACAGCAUUCCUGCUGAGGAGAUCCAGCAUCUCAAAAGACUUUGUGUUACCUGUAUCAUGUCUCCGGAGCACUAUUUGGAGCCAAUGCUGAGGCCCCUUGUCUCAGAGCAGGACAUUAGAGGGUCCAGAGAAAUCCCAUUAGUUUCUCACAGCUCAAGAUAUUCAGUUUGUGAUGCACAAGGACUUUUUCCAUAACAAUUCAUUUUUUACAUGAAAGAUGUCUGUAUCAAACUGCACAUAAGCUGGUUUGUGAUUCUCAGCUGGAACUUGUGUGUGUCCCAGAUAGUUUCUCUUGUGGAAAAAAGGAAGGAAGACUCUUAAGCUUUUGACAUAAUCCAGAGAACAUUCAUGAAUAAGCAAUCUGCUGUCAUAACAGCUUCAUUGUACAAUUAUAGAACACAGAUUUUAAACAGUAAGUUUGAGGAUUUGGGUUUCACAAAAUGGUUCAAUGUUGAGUUUUUUAAACUUUAUAUAAUUUUACUUCUUUAGACACAUGGGGGAAGGAAAGGUAAAGGAAAGAUGGUUGACCUGUUUUUAAGUAGCAGCGGAACAGAUUAAAUGACACUUGUGUUCUGAAACAA
Notolabrus celidotus (New Zealand spotty) is the source of this 781-nucleotide long non-coding RNA. RefSeq lists it as uncharacterized. Lineage: Eukaryota; Metazoa; Chordata; Actinopteri; Labriformes; Labridae. The transcript has 2 exons. The record is from RefSeq and is a predicted model, not a curated record.